Molecule: ribosomal RNA, 492 nt
Filed under: uncultured bacterium
Lineage: Bacteria
Description: partial 16S ribosomal RNA
Rfam family: Bacterial small subunit ribosomal RNA
Source: RNAcentral
AGUGAACGCUGGCGGUAGGCCUAACACAUGCAAGUCGAACGGCCGCACAGUAAGAGCUUGCUCUUACGGGUGGCGAGUGGCGGACGGGUGAGGAAUACAUCGGAAUCUACUUUUUCGUGGGGGAUAACGUAGGGAAACUUACGCUAAUACCGCAUACGACCUACGGGUGAAAGCAGGGGAUCUUCGGACCUUGCGCGAUUGAAUGAGCCGAUGUCGGAUUAGCUAGUUGGCGGGGUAAAGGCCCACCAAGGCGACGAUCCGUAGCUGGUCUGAGAGGAUGAUCAGCCACACUGGAACUGAGACACGGUCCAGACUCCUACGGGAGGCAGCAGUGGGGAAUAUUGGACAAUGGGCGCAAGCCUGAUCCAGCCAUGCCGCGUGAGUGAAGAAGGCCUUCGGAUUGUAAAGCCCUUUUAUUAGGGAAGAAAAGCAGCGGAUUAAUCCCCCGCUGUUCUGACGGUACCCAAAGAGUAAGCACCGGCUAACUUCGUG